GACCAGUAACCUCUACUGCAACAGUGACCUCUUCUGGACCGAGGGGAGUGAGCGAGUAAAGCCAAGCCGCAAGACAGUCAUUACGGAACCACCUGCUCUGUGACUCCCCCGGCUCACCCUCCCCACACACUACCUUCAAGCC
This 142-nucleotide long non-coding RNA is filed under the name Gadus morhua (Atlantic cod). Its description in RNAcentral is "lncRNA (ENSGMOG00000033796.1)". The record is from RNAcentral. Lineage: Eukaryota; Metazoa; Chordata; Actinopteri; Gadiformes; Gadidae.